AGUGAACGCUGGCGGUAGGCCUAACACAUGCAAGUCGAACGGCAGCACAGUAAGAGCUUGCUCUUACGGGUGGCGAGUGGCGGACGGGUGAGGAAUACAUCGGAAUCUACUUUUUCGUGGGGGAUGACGUAGGGAAACUUACGCUAAUACCGCAUACGACCUACGGGUGAAAGCAGGGGAUCUUCGGACCUUGCGCGAUUGAAUGAGCCGAUGUCGGAUUAGCUAGUUGGCGGGGUAAAGGCCCACCAAGGCGACGAUCCGUAGCUGGUCUGAGAGGAUGAUCAGCCACACUGGAACUGAGACACGGUCCAGACUCCUACGGGAGGCAGCAGUGGGGAAUAUUGGACAAUGGGCGCAAGCCUGAUCCAGCCAUACCGCGUGGGUGAAGAAGGCCUUCGGGUUGUAAAGCCCUUUUGUUGGGAAAGAAAAGCAGCAGGUUAAUACCCCGCUGUUCUGACGGUACCCAAAGAAUAAGUACCGGCUAACUUCGUG
This 492-nucleotide ribosomal RNA is filed under the name uncultured bacterium. RNAcentral describes it as "partial 16S ribosomal RNA". It matches the Rfam family "Bacterial small subunit ribosomal RNA", at positions 29 to 507 of the family's 1533-position model. The record is from RNAcentral.